Non-coding RNA from Tulasnella sp. 403, 116 nucleotides. Lineage: Eukaryota; Fungi; Basidiomycota; Agaricomycetes; Cantharellales; Tulasnellaceae. The record is from the annotation of a GenBank genome assembly.
GCCCGGCUAGCUCAAUCGGUAGAGCGUCAGACUCUUAUACUCCCUGCAGAUCCCCUGCCUUGUGUAGCGGGUGCAUGGGUAUCUGAAGGUUACAGGUUCGACCCCCGUGUCAGGCU